UACGGAGGGUGCGAGCGUUGUCCGGAAUCACUGGGCGUAAAGGGCGCGUAGGCGGCCUGAUAAGUAGGGGGUGAAAUCCUGCGGCUUAACCGCAGGGCUGCCUUCUAAACUGUCAGGCUCGAGCACAGUAGAGGCAGGUGGAAUUCCCGGUGUAGCGGUGGAAUGCGUAGAGAUCGGGAAGAACAUCAGUGGCGAAGGCAAUCACCUGGGCCUGAACUGACACUGAGACACGAAAGCGUGGGUAGCAAACAGG
RNAcentral lists this ribosomal RNA (253 nucleotides) under uncultured bacterium. Its description in RNAcentral is "partial 16S ribosomal RNA". It matches the Rfam family "Bacterial small subunit ribosomal RNA", at positions 524 to 776 of the family's 1533-position model. The record is from RNAcentral.